GCAUGGUUGUCGUCAGCUCGUGUCGUGAGAUGUUGGGUUAAGUUCCCGCAACGAGCGCAACCCCUAUUGUUAGUUGCCAUCAUUCAGUUGGGCACUCUAGCGAGACUGCCGGUAAUAAACCGGAGGAAGGUGGGGAUGACGUCAAAUCAUCAUGCCCCUUAUGACCUGGGCUACACACGUGCUACAAUGGUUGGUACAACGAGUUGCGAGUCGGUGACGGCGAGCUAAUCUCUUAAAGCCAAUCUCAGUUCGGAUUGUAGGCUGCAACUCGCCUACAUGAAGUCGGAAUCGCUAGUAAUCGCGGAUCAGCACGCCGCGGUGAAUACGUUCCCGGGCCUU
RNAcentral lists this ribosomal RNA (339 nucleotides) under uncultured Streptococcus sp. Its description in RNAcentral is "bacterial SSU rRNA". It matches the Rfam family "Bacterial small subunit ribosomal RNA", at positions 1043 to 1382 of the family's 1533-position model. The record is from RNAcentral. Lineage: Bacteria; Bacillati; Bacillota; Bacilli; Lactobacillales; Streptococcaceae.